This 253-nucleotide ribosomal RNA is filed under the name uncultured bacterium. Its description in RNAcentral is "partial 16S ribosomal RNA". It matches the Rfam family "Bacterial small subunit ribosomal RNA", at positions 524 to 776 of the family's 1533-position model. The record is from RNAcentral.
UACAGGGGGGGCAAGCGUUGUUCGGAAUUACUGGGCGUAAAGGGCUCGUAGGCGGCCAACUAAGUCCGACGUGAAAUCCCUCAGCUUAACUGGGGAACUGCGUCUGAUACUGGAUGGCUUGGAUCCGGAAGAGGGAUGCGGAAUUCCAGGUGUAGCGGUGAAAUGCGUAGAUAUCUGGAGGAACACCGGUGGCGAAGGCGGCAUCCUGGGCCGGUAUUGACGCUGAGGAGCGAAAGCCAGGGGAGCAAACGGG